Molecule: ribosomal RNA, 253 nt
Filed under: uncultured bacterium
Lineage: Bacteria
Description: partial 16S ribosomal RNA
Rfam family: Bacterial small subunit ribosomal RNA
Source: RNAcentral
UACGAAGGGGGCUAGCGUUGCUCGGAAUCACUGGGCGUAAAGGGUGCGUAGGCGGGUCUUUAAGUCAGGGGUGAAAUCCUGGAGCUCAACUCCAGAACUGCCUUUGAUACUGAAGAUCUUGAGUUCGGGAGAGGUGAGUGGAACUGCGAGUGUAGAGGUGAAAUUCGUAGAUAUUCGCAAGAACACCAGUGGCGAAGGCGGCUCACUGGCCCGGUACUGGCGCUGAGGUGCGAAAGCGUGGGGAGCAAACAGG